This 429-nucleotide ribosomal RNA is filed under the name Bacteroidota bacterium. Its description in RNAcentral is "Bacteroidetes bacterium partial 16S ribosomal RNA". It matches the Rfam family "Bacterial small subunit ribosomal RNA", at positions 355 to 776 of the family's 1533-position model. Lineage: Bacteria; Pseudomonadati; Bacteroidota. The record is from RNAcentral.
UAGGGAAUCUUCCGCAAUGGACGCAAGUCUGACGGAGCAACGCCGCGUGAGUGAAGAAGGAUUUCGGUUCGUAAAACUCUGUUGUUAGAGAAGAACAGCGCAUAGAGUAACUGUUAUGCGUGUGACGGUAUCUAACCAGAAAGCCACGGCUAACUACGUGCCAGCAGCCGCGGUAAUACGUAGGUGGCAAGCGUUGUCCGGAUUUAUUGGGCGUAAAGCGAGCGCAGGCGGUCAAUUAAGUCUGAUGUGAAAGCCCCCGGCUCAACCGGGGAGGGUCAUUGGAAACUGGUUGACUUGAGUGCAGAAGAGGAGAGUGGAAUUCAAUGUGUAGCGGUGAAAUGCGUAGAUAUAUGGAGGAACACCAGUGGCGAAGGCGACUCUCUGGUCUGUAACUGACGCGGAGGCUCGAAAGCGUGGGUAGCAAACAGG